UACAUUGUAUAUAUUUAAUGGUGUAGCUCAAUAUAAAACAUUUACAGAAAUGCUUCAAUAACAGUAAGGCAGAUUUUUUUCUGCUAUAAUCUUACUAAAAAGCAUUUUUUAACAUGAUAUAUGAUUUUCACAUGUGCUAGCUGUUAUAAAUAGAAUCAAAAGCAUAAGACUAUUAAAUUUUCUAAUAAAUAAACAAAUGUGUGCGCUAGAGCUAAAGAAAAUGUAGACAUAGGACUUUGGUUUGACAAAAAAAAAGGCUUUACAUUAAGGUUCAAAAUAAAAAAAAGUUAACAUAACAGUAUUAGACUUUAUUUUUGACACAUUUUUUCUUCUAUAAAUUUGACCUCUUUUUCCCUGCUUUUUCAUAGUGAUAUUUCUUCCUGCUUCUGCUGGAAGUCUGAAAGAAGUUAACAUAGGACUUCAAUUAAUUGAAUUUCUCUGUCAAUGCAUAAACAUGGAAUAACUAUAACUUGAAGAAAGUUACAUAGAUUAGGGGAUAUCACUGAGCACUAUAUUGUACCUGCUCACUCCAUGGCUUAUAAAUAUACAUAUAAUAUAUAUAUAUAAAUAAAAUGAAUAAAUUCAACAAUAAAAAGUAUUUAUUGCACUACAUUGUAUUACCUUGCUGAGAAAAAAAGAUUACAGAAACUAAGGUAUUAAUGCUUUCAUUUGAUCUUGAACUUUAACCUUGUGCUGUUUGGUUCAAACACAAAAACAACAUAUAAACAAACAAACAAAUAAAUAAAACAUAAAUUCCUCUUGGCAGUGGCUACCAAAACUUGCAUUCUACCCUAGCAAAAAUAAUCCUGACCUUGCAAAAUGUAAAUUUAAAAGUUUAAUCUAUUCCAUGUAAAGGAGUAUUUUUCUUAUAUAUUUAAUAUAAUAAAUCAAAAUUCAAAUUCUGUAACAGUCAAGGCACAUUUAACAAAAAAUAAUACUUCAGUAUAUUGGUCCCUACAGAAAGGUACAUGUUGGAUACAGACGGCAACCAAACAAUACAAAAACAAACAAAAUCUAGCGGUCAAUUCACAGUCUGCAUCAUCAGACUGGUGUCUAAACAAAAUGCAAAGUUUUGAAUCACCCCAUGUCUAACAAAUUUGUGCUUGCAUUUAAAAAAAAUAGAUAUCAUUCUAUCUCAACUUUAUCUACUUGUGAUUUUACUUAAAACACCCAAACAACAAAUAAACAAUCAAUACAAAAAUAUUCUGUUACUGUUUUUACUCAAAAAAUUGUAAAGGCACUGUUUAUGUUAAUAGUACAUGUGUACUGUGUUUUUCAAAAUGCAUAGAAAUAGACUCAUAAUAUUUUCAAUUCAUGAUACUGUAAAAUUGUUCUUGUAAUUCUUGAAGGGGGUAGAAGGUAACUCUUUAAAUCAUUAUGCUUUUGUAAAAGUCAAGUUUCGUCAAUGAAUUUUAAGCAUUUACCUGAAACAGAUUGGAAAUCAUCUAUGUAUCCAAGAUGCUUAGAACAUAUUUAUGAAAAUGGCUGACACAAACGUACUGAUGAUUUUAUGAGUUAUUUCCCUUAACCUAGGUCUACCUCCUUAAAAGACUUCUAUAACAUAACAAACUUAUUUUUUUUUACAAUAUACUAAACCAAAUUUAAAAUACUAAAUUCAAUGCAUAUGGUGUAAACUCAUAAUAAUCUUAUUUGAAUUUUAUUCACUUCGCUGAAUUUUGAAAAAAAUCAUCAGACAAAAAUUCUACAAAGUACAUAAAAAAAGGAAAUAAUCUAAUGCCAAAAUAAAGUGACCCUGCCAUUGAGUUGUGUAAUUGUAAACUUUUUUUGCUUUAAUCACUAUAAUGUGUAUAAAUAAAUGAAUGAACAAUUGUAAUAUACAAUCUAAAUUCAAAAUUAAAUUCAUAAUAAAACUAAAGAGGUUUUGUAUGUAAUAUUAUAUUGCAUAUAUAAUAAACAAAGUAAAUGAUUUAAUACAAUUUCUUUGAACACUAAUAACAAUAUCUUUUAAAGCUGACUGUCGACUGGUGACUGGUAUCUACAUCUUAAGUAAUGUUCUGGAAAAAAGUAUAAGAAUCAUG
RNAcentral lists this long non-coding RNA (2039 nucleotides) under Mytilus galloprovincialis (Mediterranean mussel). The record is from RNAcentral. Lineage: Eukaryota; Metazoa; Mollusca; Bivalvia; Mytilida; Mytilidae.